CCUACGGGUGGCAGCAGUGAGGAAUAUUGGUCAAUGGGCGCGAGCCUGAUCCAGCCAAGCAGCGUGAAGGAUGACUGCCCUACGGGUUGUAAACUCCUUUUAUAAAGGAAUAAAGUGAGGCACGUGUGCCUUUUUGUAUGUACUUUAUGAAUAAGGAUCGGCUAACUCCGUGCCAGCAGCCGCGGGAAUACGGAGGAUCCGAGCGUUAUCCGGAUUUAUUGGGUUUAAAGGGAGCGUAGGUGGGUUGUUAAGUCAGUUGUGAAAGUUUGCGGCUCAACCGGAGAAUUGCAAUUGAUACUGGCAGGCUUGAGUACAGUAGAGGUAGGCGGAAUUCGUGGUGUAGCGGUGAAAUGCGUAGAUAUCACGAGGAACUCCGAUGGCGAAGGCAGCUUACUAAACUGCCACUGACAUUGAUGCUCGAAAGUGUGGGUAGCAAACAGGAUUAGAUACCCUUGUAGUC
RNAcentral lists this ribosomal RNA (460 nucleotides) under uncultured bacterium. Its description in RNAcentral is "partial 16S ribosomal RNA". It matches the Rfam family "Bacterial small subunit ribosomal RNA", at positions 338 to 795 of the family's 1533-position model. The record is from RNAcentral.